Molecule: ribosomal RNA, 198 nt
Filed under: uncultured bacterium
Lineage: Bacteria
Description: partial 16S ribosomal RNA
Rfam family: Bacterial small subunit ribosomal RNA
Source: RNAcentral
ACGCUCGACACCUACGGGAGGAGCAGUGGGGAAUAUUGCACAAUGGGGGAAACCCUGAUGCAGCAACGCCGCGUGAGUGAAGAAGUAUUUCGGUAUGUAAAGCUCUAUCAGCAGGGAAGAUAAUGACGGUACCUGACUAAGAAGCUCCGGCUAAAUACGUGCCAGCAGCCGACGGUAAUCUGAGCGGGCUGGCAAGGC